This 468-nucleotide ribosomal RNA is filed under the name uncultured bacterium. Its description in RNAcentral is "partial 16S ribosomal RNA". It matches the Rfam family "Bacterial small subunit ribosomal RNA", at positions 28 to 507 of the family's 1533-position model. The record is from RNAcentral.
GACGAACGCUGGCGGCGUGCUUAACACAUGCAAGUCGAACGGAAAGGCCCUGCUUUUGUGGGGUGCUCGAGUGGCGAACGGGUGAGUAACACGUGAGUAACCUGCCCUUGACUUUGGGAUAACUUCAGGAAACUGGGGCUAAUACCGGAUAGGAGCUCCUGCUGCAUGGUGGGGGUUGGAAAGUUUCGGCGGUUGGGGAUGGACUCGCGGCUUAUCAGCUUGUUGGUGGGGUAGGGGCUUACCAAGGCUUUGACGGGUCGCCGGCCUGAGAGGGUGACCGGCCACAUUGGGACUGAGAUACGGCCCAGACUCCUACGGGAGGCAGCAGUGGGGAAUAUUGCACAAUGGGCGGAAGCCUGAGGCAGCAACGCCGCGUGCGGGAUGACGGCCUUCGGGUUGUAAACCGCUUUCGCCUGUGACGAAGCGUGAGUGACGGUAAUGGGUAAAGAAGCACCGGCUAACUACGUG